This 472-nucleotide ribosomal RNA is filed under the name uncultured bacterium. RNAcentral describes it as "bacterial SSU rRNA". It matches the Rfam family "Bacterial small subunit ribosomal RNA", at positions 331 to 795 of the family's 1533-position model. The record is from RNAcentral.
CCAGACUCCUACGGGAGGCAGCAGUGGGGAAUAUUGCACAAUGGGCGCAAGCCUGAUGCAGCCAUGCCGCGUGUAUGAAGAAGGCCUUCGGGUUGUAAAGUACUUUCAGUCGGGAGGAAGGUGUCAAGGUUAAUAACCUUGGCAAUUGACGUUACCGACAGAAGAAGCACCGGCUAACUCCGUGCCAGCAGCCGCGGUAAUACGGAGGGUGCAAGCGUUAAUCGGAAUUACUGGGCGUAAAGCGCACGCAGGCGGUCUGUCAAGUCGGAUGUGAAAUCCCCGGGCUCAACCUGGGAACUGCAUUCGAAACUGGCAGGCUGGAGUCUUGUAGAGGGGGGUAGAAUUCCAGGUGUAGCGGUGAAAUGCGUAGAGAUCUGGAGGAAUACCGGUGGCGAAGGCGGCCCCCUGGACAAAGACUGACGCUCAGGUGCGAAAGCGUGGGGAGCAAACAGGAUUAGAUACCCCAGUAGAU